Molecule: ribosomal RNA, 91 nt
Filed under: Rhodospirillaceae bacterium
Lineage: Bacteria; Pseudomonadati; Pseudomonadota; Alphaproteobacteria; Rhodospirillales; Rhodospirillaceae
Description: partial 16S ribosomal RNA
Rfam family: Bacterial small subunit ribosomal RNA
Source: RNAcentral
UCAACUUAAGAGUUUGAUCCUGGCUCAGAACGAACGCUGGCGGCAUGCUUAACACAUGCAAGUCGAACGAGAUCUUCGGAUCUAGUGGCGC